GAUGAACGCUGGCGGUAUGCUUAACACAUGCAAGUCGAACGGACUCUUCGGAGUUAGUGGCGGACGGGUGAGUAACGCGUGAGAAUCUGGCUUUGGGUUCGGGACAACCACUGGAAACGGUGGCUAAUACCGGAUGUGCCGAGAGGUAAAAGAGAAAUUGCCUGAAGAUGAGCUCGCGUCUGAUUAGCUAGUUGGUGAGGUAAUGGCUCACCAAGGCAGCGAUCAGUAGCUGGUCUGAGAGGAUGACCAGCCACACUGGGACUGAGACACGGCCCAGACUCCUACGGGAGGCAGCAGUGGGGAAUUUUCCGCAAUGGGCGAAAGCCUGACGGAGCAAUACCGCGUGAGGGAAGAAGGCUCUUGGGUUGUAAACCUCUUUUCUUAGGGAAGAACAAAAUGACGGUACCUAAGGAAUCAGCAUCGGCUAACUCCGUG
RNAcentral lists this ribosomal RNA (435 nucleotides) under uncultured bacterium. RNAcentral describes it as "partial 16S ribosomal RNA". It matches the Rfam family "Bacterial small subunit ribosomal RNA", at positions 28 to 507 of the family's 1533-position model. The record is from RNAcentral.